UCAAUUAAAAUUUGAUGAUUACUGAUAGAAUAAUCAAGGGAAAAAGGGUUUUCAUUUUUUGAGAGAGAGAGAGAGUGUUCAAAAAAUGGAAGGAAGAUGAUUGCGACAAAUGGUGGUCAUAAUUUAACCGACGAAGAUAUUCCAGCAAAAUUCUUGGACGGGAAAUUCACUGGGAAUAAUCAUUUUGGAGCUCGGGUUAAUUGGGUUUGUCGAGACGGAAAGUGUUUUUCGCAGGGGAAGGAAGAAGAAUUCGACAGGUAUAGUUUCAAGAAAAAUAAUGGGUACACGAAAAGCAGAACCUGAACAACGAUAUUAGAUUUGAGGAUAAGUUUUACAUCUGGAGUGGUCUCAUUUUCAGGAUUCAUCCGACGGUAAAACCCAGCCGCCCGUUUCCCCGUUGUGCUCUGGAGGGCGUGAAGGUCUGUCUGAGUACUCAUUUAUGUGUUUGCCUCUGCCCUAUUCUGGCGCAUGGGCUGCCCAGAGGAGGGAUGGCUUUUGGAAGGGCAUCAAGUGUAUCAUACUGUUGAAUAUGCUCUUCCACUUAUCAAAAUUUCGUGAAAAUUGUAAGUCAUUCCCUAUCCUCUCUCUUACUUCUCCAUUUGAAGAUUAGGUGAGGUUUGAUCU
RNA transcript from Cucurbita maxima (winter squash), 624 nucleotides. RefSeq lists it as uncharacterized. NCBI's taxonomy places the organism in Eukaryota, Viridiplantae, Streptophyta, Magnoliopsida, Cucurbitales, Cucurbitaceae. The transcript has 4 exons. The record is from RefSeq and is a predicted model, not a curated record.